UCCUUCCCUCUCUCCCUCCUGCCUCCCUCCUUCCUUUUUCUCUUCUCUAUUUUAUGAAGUUUCCUGUAAGACAUUUAAUUUGCUGAGCACUAGAGAAAAGAUUCAACCAAAAAUUGAGGAAGUAAACUGAAAUGUAAGGCAUGACCUUCCCUUCCCUCCGACCCACAUGUAACAGAUUUAUGUGCCUUAUUGUAAACAUUCUGCUGCAUCUUUCCUCCACCUGCUACAAGGAGUUAGAGAAUCUGCUUUUAACAAGGAAGAUAAAUGCACCAAAUGUCACGGAGCCUCAGGGGGAUCAGAGAUGGUAAAACAAGUGGUUUAAUGUUCUGAUUUCCUUUUUCUAAUGCAUGCACUAAGUUAUGUUUUCACUGAGUCCCCGAAACCACACAGCUGAAUCUGCUCUCUGCCUAAGCUAAGGGACAUUUGCACCAAUGAAUUGAGCAGAGAGAGAAUCAUUCUCUCGUGGGUGGGUGUGCGAAUGGCAUGGAAGGAAUGGGGUUGAUACAUGAAGAUGCAGUGUGGCUACAUUGGUAAGGACCAUUUAUGCACAACAAAGCAAAUAUAUUUAUACAAAAAUUUUGCUCUGUAUAAGCUGUUUUUUUUUUCCUUUGAGCAGUAUUUUUGUCGUUACUCACUUUCAGAUCUGACCCUCAACAUAAGAAAAUGUUCUAUUGUGGAGCACUAAUUGGCGUCAAGACAUUUUGUGUGCUGCCAUCGCACUGCUUUCUGCCAUAGGACCACGUGAACUUGACCCAGAAAUGAAGCUGAAUUGUAACAGUCAUGAACAACACUGAGUUUGCCAAAAGAAAAAAGAAACUAAGCAAAUGAGGAAGCUGAGGUUCACAGGGAUGCAAGUAAAUUGCCCACGUGCACAGAAAUAAACGAGAACAGUGGCCUGGGGAUAUUCAGAGAAAAUUCCACUGCAGAUAACAGAAUCUAUUAGCCAAGAAGAUGCCGAACAUAUGACCUCCGUGUAUAGCAUAAGUCAUUCCACAUACCUCCAACGAAUGAUGCUCAUGUUGUCCUGCCUGGGGAACACUGCUGUAGACAAGUUGCCAGCAGUCGGUAGCACGGUGCUCCUCACAGCGUGACACAAGCAAUCUGGCA
Molecule: non-coding RNA, 1107 nt
Organism: Oryctolagus cuniculus (rabbit)
Lineage: Eukaryota; Metazoa; Chordata; Mammalia; Lagomorpha; Leporidae
Source: RefSeq, a predicted model, not a curated record